This 196-nucleotide ribosomal RNA is filed under the name Escherichia coli. Its description in RNAcentral is "partial 16S ribosomal RNA". It matches the Rfam family "Bacterial small subunit ribosomal RNA", at positions 1 to 204 of the family's 1533-position model. Lineage: Bacteria; Pseudomonadati; Pseudomonadota; Gammaproteobacteria; Enterobacterales; Enterobacteriaceae. The record is from RNAcentral. RNAcentral also lists the same sequence under 5 other names.
AAAUUGAAGAGUUUGAUCAUGGCUCAGAUUGAACGCUGGCGGCAGGCCUAACACAUGCAAGUCGAACGGUAACAGGAAGCAGCUUGCUGCUUUGCUGACGAGUGGCGGACGGGUGAGUAAUGUCUGGGAAACUGCCUGAUGGAGGGGGAUAACUACUGGAAACGGUAGCUAAUACCGCAUAACGUCGCAAGACCAA